CGGGCCCUGAGCGGGGAGGCUGGUCCCAACCUUGCGUGGGCUUCGCGUGGGCCCGGCCUCGCCGCUGCGGUCGCCCGCCUGGCAUGGCCAACUGGGUGUUCUGUAAUCGCUGCUUCCAGCCGCCCCACAGGACGUCGUGCUUCAGCCUCACCAACUGCGGGCACGUGUACUGCGACGCCUGCCUCGGCAAAGGUAAAAAGAAUGAAUGCUUGAUUUGUAAAGCUCCUUGUCGUACAGUUUUACUUUCAAAGCAUACCGACGCAGAUAUCCAGGCGUUCUUCAUGAGCAUAGACAGUCUGUGUAAGAAGUACUCCAGGGAAACCUCCCAGGUGAGCUAUGAGGGGUGUGGCUUGGUUCUGUGAUGAGCCAGGUGCGCUAUCCUGAGACCAUGGAGC
This 395-nucleotide small RNA is filed under the name Pongo abelii (Sumatran orangutan). RNAcentral's name for it is "retained intron". The record is from RNAcentral. Lineage: Eukaryota; Metazoa; Chordata; Mammalia; Primates; Hominidae.